Molecule: long non-coding RNA, 2825 nt
Organism: Spodoptera frugiperda (fall armyworm)
Lineage: Eukaryota; Metazoa; Arthropoda; Insecta; Lepidoptera; Noctuidae
Exons: 3
Source: RefSeq, a predicted model, not a curated record
ACUUAUUACAAACAUUGUAAAAAACAACACUAUAAUGUAUUUGUUUAUAUAAAUAAUAAAUAAAAUAUGAUUUUAAAGUAUCACGUCUAGUCAUUUUAAAAACAAAUUAUUUUAAUAGUUAUAGUCACGGAUAUAGUUUAUGUGCUGGAGUGUCUAUGGUUGGGGAUUUGAAGUGCCAUUUUGUUUUCAAAACUUUCAAAACAAUUUUCUUUGCUUUUCUGGACGUUUCGCUGGUGUUAUAAUUGUGCUUUUUUAUUAAUUUUUUUGACGACUUGGCUAUCUUCCUACGGAUUUUGAUAUUCUACCACACCUGAUACUACUUGGCUUCGAAUUUGGAAUUUUGAUAACUGCUUUCGCGAUUUACCUUGGCAAGAUAUCCGGACUACUGGCUGCUCACGAUUUUGGAGUUGUUACUUGAUAACCAUGCCUAAUAAAUCACGAUUGAAGUGCUACUUUGGGUGCGCUAAUGAUGGCCCGCUGCAUCAUUUCCUUAACCCGAAAAGUAUUAAACUAGAAGAUAUUGAGAAAUUUUCUCGGUGGAAAGCUGUGUUAGAUAAAAUAACACAAGAAAAAGGGAAUGUAUACAUAUAUAACCAUAUAUUACUGUGCAAUAAGCACUUUUUGGAGGGCUAUCAGCUGCCAAGCCGUCGUCUGACUAAGAAUGCUGUUCCCACUUUAAAUCUAGGACGCCAAACUCCACCCAUAAUUGAUGAAAGUAUGCCAUCUACAUCAGGGCUGCAACUUUUAGAAGUACAACAAAUUGACCAAAACAUGCAACCAUCAACAUUAAUUACUAUGGCUAUUCAAGUACCAAGAGGUUUGUAAAGUUAAAACAAAAAUUAUCCAACAUACAUACAUUUUCCGAAGCUGCGGACUACCUAGUGGGUUUACCGGGUCUCCGGCUCGAAAAGCAGGAGUAGAAACGGGGUGGUUUUUAGUCAGUAAGAGUCUGACACUCCCUCUCGCCUCGCCCAAGGCGAGAGAAGUCAUUGGAUGAUUUUCAACCCUCAAAAAAAAAAAACAUACAUUAAUUUAUCUGCUCAAGAUGGUUUGUUGACGUCGCCAAAAGCGAAAAAAAUUAUACAUGCCAUAAGUUUCCAGUUUUAUGAAUAAUAUUGAAGAAAAAUUGAUUCAUUUCGUUGUUCAUAAAAUCAUGCAGCACCCCAUUCACUUGGUUACUUGCAUUCACUCUCUUAGCGAGACAGCACGUUUGUUACGUCUAUUAACGUCCCUUCGUGUUUACUGAUCUUUCGCACUAACGUGCAUCAUAUUGGAAAAUAUUAGAACUUAUGUGUUUGGUAAACAGGUGUGAGUCUAUGUAUGUAUGUAAAAUAUGAUUUGUGAUUUAUAAAUAACUUAUAUUUUCCAGGACAUCAGCAGCCGAGUGAUGCAGAAUCUGUCGCAUUGCAGACUUCUACAAUUUAUAAACCUACAAUGAGUAAGAAACAAUCCAUCAUCAUUUUAAAAUAUUCUCAUUUCAUUCUUAGUUUUGUCUUUCAUGUCCGGGUCGGCUGUCUAGUCUAUCCAGAUUGGAUCGAAGGCCGAAUAUCUAUUUAAUAUGUGUUAGGCUUUUUGAGGGUACUGACUUCCCGUAACGAUUAUCAUAACUGUUCUUAUGACAACCCGGAACGACGGCCCUAACGUGCUGGCCGAGGCACGAGAUAAGCGAUAAUUACGCACACAACUUCGAAAACAUUGUUAAGCAAUGUUAAUACUGUGUGGUAUCUAAUGUAACCUCUAUAAUAAUUAUCUUUAAUAUAAUUAUAAAUAAGUUAUUCGAUCGAGUCCACUAUGUAGUUUAAACCAGACGCAACGAAAUAUACAUUUUUCCACUGAUCUCAUAGAUAAAGCAUAUUAGCUCUCUUCGUCAUCUUCUGAGUGACUUUAAGUCGCCGGAAUAUUGUACUAUAGACUCAAUAUUGUGUAUUAAUUUCUUCUCAAGGGUUAUGUUUUUUGUUAUGUUACUUGGCUUAUUCUUUAUAUUGGCCUGAGUAUUUUCUCACAACCCUAUUGUGAAGCAAAUAAUUAGGAGUGGCCUAUGUCCAGCCGUUGAUAUACAAAUCCCAGUACCUACUGUAGUACUUUAGUGUACUGUGGUGAAAGGCUGUGAUGAUGAGCAUUUUUACCCGACUGCGCCAGAAGGAGGGUGAUGUUUUUCGAGUGUAUGUAUGUAUGUAUGUAUGUAUGUAUGUAUGUAUAAUUGUUUGGCACGCUCUGCAGCCUAAACGGCUUGAUGGAUUUUGACUUGAAAGGUGUCGUUAGAUUCGUAUUUACUGUGAGAGUGACACUGGAUAUAUCAAAAUAAUAAAAAAACCAAAAUGGCGAAUUUUUGGCGCCAAAUUCGAAUAUUUCUCACUCUCUAGCCUAAACGGCUUAAUGGAUUUUGACUUGAGAGGUGUCGUUAGAUUCGUAUUUACUGUGAGAGUGACACUGGAUAUAUCAAAAUAAUAAAAAAACAAAAUGGCGGAUUUUUGGCGCCAAAUUCGAAUAUUUCUCACUCUCUAGCCUGAACUGCUUGAUGGAUUUUGACUUGAGAGGUGUCGUUUGAUUCGUAUUUGCUGUGAGAGUGACACUAGAUAUAUCAAAAUACAAAAAUAAUAAAACUAAAAAUAAUUAAAUAAAAAAAGGUAAUUUAAAAAACUAAAAAACCCGACUGCGUUUCUUGAAAAAACCCUAAAACAAGAAAGUCAUCGUAAAAUUUAAGCAGUCGGGACCCAUUCUAGAAAGCCAGCCGUAUGUGCCCUCACAAAGUCUUCAUAUUUAGAAUGGGUCCCGACUGCUUAAAUUUUACGAUGACUUUCUUGUUUUAGGGUUUUUUCAAGAAA